UGGGGGAUAUUGCACAAUGGGCGAAAGCCUGAUGCAGCGACGCCGCGUGGGGGAUGAAGGCUUUCGGGUUGUAAACCUCUUUCGCUAUCGAACAAGGCCCGCUUAGGGUGGGUUGAGGGUAGGUGGAGAAGAAGCACCGGCUAACUCCGUGCCAGCAGCCGCGGUAAUACGGAGGGUGCAAGCGUUAAUCGGAAUUACUGGGCGUAAAGCGCACGCAGGCGGUUGAUUGAGUCAGAUGUGAAAUCCCCGGGCUUAACCCGGGAAUUGCAUCUGAUACUGGUCAGCUAGAGUCUUGUAGAGGGGGGUAGAAUUCCAGGUGUAGCGGUGAAAUGCGUAGAGAUCUGGAGGAAUACCGGUGGCGAAGGCGGCCCCCUGGACGAAGACUGACGCUCAGGUGCGAAAGCGUGGGGAGCAAACAGG
This 420-nucleotide ribosomal RNA is filed under the name Chloroflexota bacterium. RNAcentral describes it as "Chloroflexi bacterium partial 16S ribosomal RNA". It matches the Rfam family "Bacterial small subunit ribosomal RNA", at positions 355 to 776 of the family's 1533-position model. The record is from RNAcentral. Lineage: Bacteria; Bacillati; Chloroflexota.